AGUGAACGCUGGCGGCAGGCCUAAUACAUGCAAGUCGAACGGCAGCACAGCAGAGCUUGCUCUGUGGGUGGCGAGUGGCGGACGGGUGAGGAAUACAUGGGAAUCUGCCCAGUCGUGGGGGAUAACGUAUGGAAACGUACGCUAAUACCGCAUGCGCCCUACGGGGGAAAGUCGGGACCGCAAGGCCUGGCGCGAUUGGAUGAGCCCAUGUUCGAUUAGCUAGUUGGCGGGGUAAAGGCCCACCAAGGCGACGAUCGAUAGCUGGUCUGAGAGGAUGAUCAGCCACACUGGAACUGAGACACGGUCCAGACUCCUACGGGAGGCAGCAGUAGGGAAUAUUGGACAAUGGGGCGAACCCUGAUCCAGCCAUGCCGCGUGAGU
Molecule: ribosomal RNA, 381 nt
Filed under: uncultured bacterium
Lineage: Bacteria
Description: bacterial SSU rRNA
Rfam family: Bacterial small subunit ribosomal RNA
Source: RNAcentral